Molecule: long non-coding RNA, 1742 nt
Organism: Prosopis cineraria
Lineage: Eukaryota; Viridiplantae; Streptophyta; Magnoliopsida; Fabales; Fabaceae
Exons: 2
Source: RefSeq, a predicted model, not a curated record
GUCGUUUCCUUUUCCGUCACCUCCCUUCUUUCCCCUUUUUUGAAAUCCCUCCAAACAAAUAUGUAUAUCCCUCUCUUGCCCGACAUUUCCAUCAGCCAUUUGGAUUAACAAUUCAUUUGUAGUUUUACCAUCAAAGCACCCCGCGCGAAAUAGCUGCUUCGUUGAUUGCGGCUCUGUUCUUCAUCGGAGCUCGAGUUGCUUGAGAAGCUUUCGACGAACCAAAACGGAAGCCUCGUUAUACAUCGAUUCUUACAUUCUCUGAUAAGUUGAGGGAUUAGAUUUCAAGCAUUGAGCAAAGAAAUUGAUGAGUUACCUAGUUCCGAAUUUGCCAGACGAAUGUACAGGUUGAGACCAUCAUUUGAGAACCUUUGUAUGUCAAUCAGAUUUUCACUCCACAUCAUACAGCCAAUGCCAGCAUCAUAGGCGUAUGCUAAGCAGGAACAGUUGUUCAAGCACUGGAUUCUGCAAUCUGGUAAUGCUGAUACAGUGAAAGUCCCAUUUAGUAGGUCUGGAACCUUGGUAUUCUCCAAUUGCACAAACCCAUCUUCAUCAUCAUCAUAUCCAUUCCUGGUUUCAUUUUUUACUCUCUCACAUUUCAAUGGUUUCCUCCUUAUGCACCCAUUAGUCCAGUUUCCUUCAUUCCAUUCUUCUGCAUUUCUUGGCAAAAAACCUCUCAAACAGCUACAAAUUGGCUUUCUUAGUGGAUCACAACUGCCAAACGAUCCACAAAUGCCAUAAAUGUCACAGUCUGAUUGCUGCACUGUCCAUUGAGGCACCCACUGUUUCUUAUUGUCAUCCCAACUAUUAAAUACCAAUUUCCCUUCAAAGUUCAACUUAUAGAAUGAUAAUGGUAACUGGUGUAUAUAUACAAAAUAUACAUAGAAUGUACCAUUUACAUUUUGUGAAGUGAAUCCAUAAUUGAGAUACUGAUUGUCCAAAUUGGGUAUACCAAUGAAGAUUCGACCGUCCCACGGACCUCCACGCCAAUAUGUGUGACUGUUUUUCCAAAUGAAUGGUUGAGGAAUUAUAGUAGGUUGAAUAGAAGCAGCAAAGCUUCCCAUGGAUGGAUCAAAAGGGCUCUUCCAUGAUGUCAACAUGAAUUUCUGACCUUCUUGUGCAUUAGAACCAUCAUUAUUGUGUAGCAGUGUUGUGUCAGAAAGAUGGUCGAAGCUUUGCCAUAUAACUUUUCCUGUGAUGUUGUUCAGCAGCACAAGAUUUCCAGAAUCCUGCAGCUGCAAAGUGACAUGGGACGUGUCAUUAUCUGAUCCAUCUGAUGACCAAACAACAUGUUCCUUUCCAUCUUGGAUCACCAGAUUGCCAUUUUCAGAUAUCUUGAGAAUCCCAGAAGAAUCUGUGAGUGGUUCGUUUCUGUUAGCCACCCAUACCACACUGGUUUUUAACAUGUACCAAAUUCCUAGGUAACGAUUGGAUGAAUUCUUGGGGCUGAAAAAUCCAAGUGUGAAAUUGGUGCUAUUAGAGAUAAGAGUAUCAGGAUCUUUCAUGCUCUCAGAUGCUGUAAGAAUAUCUAAGCCAGAGGCUAAAGACGAAAAAUAGUAAGCACACAGGAGGAAAAUUCCUAAAAAUUCUUUAUAAACUCUGAUACCCAUUGGAUUAGUAAUUCUCCACCCAAAAAGAGAUGGGCCUUUUGUCUUCUGUUUCUACCCUUUUAACAAUCUUUCUUUAUGGGUUUUUGCCUUUUAAAUGGGUUCAUGAAGCAUAAAUUUUUCAAUCGACGGUUCAUA